This 497-nucleotide ribosomal RNA is filed under the name uncultured bacterium. Its description in RNAcentral is "partial 16S ribosomal RNA". It matches the Rfam family "Bacterial small subunit ribosomal RNA", at positions 28 to 507 of the family's 1533-position model. The record is from RNAcentral.
GAUGAACGCUGGCGGCGUGCCUAAUACAUGCAAGUCGAGCGAACAGACGAGGAGCUUGCUCCUCUGACGUUAGCGGCGGACGGGUGAGUAACACGUGGAUAACCUACCUAUAAGACUGGGAUAACUUCGGGAAACCGGAGCUAAUACCGGAUAAUAUAUUGAACCGCAUGGUUCAAUAGUGAAAGACGGUUUUGCCGUCACUUAUAGAUGGAUCCGCGCCGCAUUAACUAGUUGGUAAGGUAACGGCUUACCAAGGCAACGAUGCGUAGCCGACCUAGGAGGGUGAUCGGCCACACUGGAACUGAGACACGGUCCAGACUCCUACGGGAGGCAGCAGUAGGGAAUCUUCCGCAAUGGGCGAAAGCCUGACGGAGCAACGCCGCGUGAGUGAUGAAGGUCUUCGGAUCGUAAAACUCUGUUAUUAGGGAAGAACAAAUGUGUAAGUAACUAUGCACGUCUUGACGGUACCUAAUCAGAAAGCCACGGCUAACUACGUG